AUUUAAACAAAAUUAUAUGAUUUGAUCUUAAUUUCUCUAAAUUUUGAAUUAAAAAAAUAGUAAAAAAAUGGCCGCUCUUCCCAUGCAAUGGGAAGAGAGAGAGAGAGAGAAAAGUUGAUUUAGAUUUUAGUCAUAAAAAAUAAAAAUGGUGUGUGAGAUAUGGGACAAGAUUGGAGAAAUGAUAAGAUGCAGACAGCUUUAUUAAAGUGAAUUGAUCACAGCUAUAUGCAAGGAAAUUAAGCAUAAUCAUUAUGAGAAGCGUAAUGUAAAAGUUCCACUUAAGAAAGAAA
This 290-nucleotide unclassified non-coding RNA is filed under the name Hevea brasiliensis (rubber tree). Lineage: Eukaryota; Viridiplantae; Streptophyta; Magnoliopsida; Malpighiales; Euphorbiaceae. The record is from RNAcentral.